ACUUCUGACUUAUCUCUUGAUAUAGUCAUUUUAUGCAUAAUAGUUUAUUUCUAGUGAUAAUGAUUAUGUUUGCAUCUGUUUUGAUAUGUCACUAUCUGGUUCCUGUUGUCUGCCUAUAUUCCUAUCUGUUAUGCUUUCCUACUUAGAUUUUCUUUGAUUACCGCCAUGUGUAUCCCUGUUCAUAGAAAUAGUGACUUACAUUGCCUACUGUGUAGUAGUCUUGUUGUUCGUCAUAUCUGAUUUGUGUACUUAGGUUGUUGAUACCUAGACCAUCGUAUGAUUUAUUUCCUUUUAGUGCAUUUUAUAUGGAGGGUAUACGGUCUGUAUCUACAUGUUUAGUGUCAUGCACCAUCUUGCAUGAUUGCAUGCUGACGAUGGUCAACUCCAUUAUUGUUGAGCACAUCACCAGUUACAUGAUUUGCACACACAAUCACUCAUGAGUUAGUGGUACAUCAGGCAGGGUGUGUGCAGCUUGCUCUGUCAGGGCUCCGCUAGUCCGCUCCUGGGUAGCGAUGACUGCAGCGUGUAGCGGGCAGGGAUCCCUCCCCUUGACUAUGAUAUAGGGAGAUGAGAGCAUUUAGCUCCCCCACUCUGUUGGGGUAGGAGGAUAGGUGUACUUCGACAGCAUCUUGUCCACUCGAUCAUUCAGGAACAGUGAUGGCAGAGUGCAUAGUUGUCAUAGCCCUACCCACUCGGUCUCACCAUCGCUUGUGAGAUGGUUGACUGGCGUCAGGGGUGACACAUGUCAUUUUUGCACCAUAUGCAUAGAUUGCAUUUAUUGUUUGUGAUUCUUGUAUUUUGGAUGCUGAAUUUGUUUGGGUUGCAUAUGUUCGACAUGCAUACAGGUGACAUUUUGUAUUUGGUCUGACGACCCUUAUAUUCAGAUAGGAGGUCCUGGUUGAAGCCGUAAGGAGGUUCCAGCUGCUAGUCCCCUUGCCACAAGGAUUUUCGCUUUGGUCUUUUGGUUUCUGUUUAUUUGUUUAGAGCUAUGUUUCAGACUUGUUCUGGUUUUAGUACUUUGGAUUUUGUGUGGCUUGUCUUUGAGUAAUGUACUAGUUGAGUUUUGUUUUCUUAGUGGAUUGUAUUUGGUAUGUUUUGCUACGCGCCUGUCGGACGGGCACGAGAGGUAAGUUUAGAUGAUAUUUUCA
Molecule: long non-coding RNA, 1148 nt
Organism: Zingiber officinale
Lineage: Eukaryota; Viridiplantae; Streptophyta; Magnoliopsida; Zingiberales; Zingiberaceae
Exons: 2
Source: RefSeq, a predicted model, not a curated record